UUCUAAACCAAUAUCCAAUCCCUAACCUACUCUGAGUAAACCCAAACAAAUUUAACUCCAACCAAAAACUUGUCCAAAAAAAUUCAAAAAAGGAGAAGAUUGAGAAUGAACCCUAGAUCUACUAGCCACCGCGGUAUUCAUCUCUUCGCCAUUGUCACUCAGUCAUCAAGCUCACCGUAGCAUCUGAGAUCAGAGGGAGAGUAACCGGCGAUGCCUGCGACGCCAUCCUUGCCGAGGUCCAAGAGCAGGUUUCCAUCCUCAACUCCACUUUCUCAUGGAAGGAGUCAGAUCGAGCCGCCGCCAAGCGCCACUCACGCGCUCGCCGAUCUUGCAAAAAACGAGGAAGUGGUGAACGUGAUUCUUGAAUGAGGAGCUAUUCCGGCUUUGGUUCAGCAAUCAGCACCUCCAAGCUUCUCUCGUGACGGAAGAAGACCUCGUUCAGAAGCUGUUGCUGUUUGAGCAUGAGGUUGAGAAAGUGAGUGCUUUUGCACCUGGACUUCUUGCCGCUGUAGUUGCCGCGUUGAAAGCUUCUGAAUCGAGCCACUAUUUCAGUCUGUUUUCUUUUCUUCUUCAGUUUUCAUUUGUUUUCGUGUGGAGUGAUUCCUGUGGUUAAAGUUCUCUGACUCCAGUUAGUUACUAGAUAAAAGUAAAGCAUUUAAUUUACUGAACUAUUUUAUCUAUGUAUCUUCCAUUUUGGUUCCUUACUCUCCAAAUCAGAUUUGACAGAAGCUGGUAACUGGAGUUAAAUUUUGGAGCUGAACACUUUCUUUUCUUUUUGUUUUUACAUCUAUAUAUUUUCAGAAAUCAGGUUCAACAUGAAAACAUGUCCAUAGAUAUUAUAGAAGUGUUCUGCAGGUGGAAAAGAAUCUAAAGGGUUCCAGAGAGAAGCAACAAUUCUCCAUAGUCUUCAAUAACUUCUAUAUGUGUGGUGGAAACUGCAGGUGGAGUUGCGAGUCCUGGUGCUUCUGGAUCACUUUAAUGUGACUUAUAUAGGUCCGCUAUUUGCACAUUUCUGGAACAGUUUCUGCUUAUGAGAGCUUGACCCUUCGAGGUUAUGAUGUUGUUGCUGUUGUUUUGGGAGAUCACAGCCUUCUAAAAGAGGGUCGAAUAAUGUCUUAUAUGCGGAACAAGCUUCCUAUUCUAGUGCUACCCUCUGUUCCAAAAGUUUUCUUUCUAGGCCUUAUUGGAGGUGUUACUUUCCAAUUACUCAAGCAAUAAUCUAUGUUGUUGAUUCAAGUGAUACCGAUAGGCUUGUGAUAGCUAAGGAAGAGUUCCAUGCUAUUCUGGAGGCUGACUCUGAAGUUCACAUACACUGGAAAGGUGCUACUGAGAUUGUCCUAGCCUGUUGUCCACGGUACAUUGAUGCAAAUGACCAAUUGAUAGACAUGGAUGAGGAAAAGGAUCCUUGUCGACCUGGAGUCAAAGAUUCAGUGGAGCUUUGCCAAAAAUAUGGGGUUAAGGUUGUGAGACGGGGACGUUCUGUGUAUGCAAAUAUUCAGAAAUUUAUCUAGUUUCAGCUUACAGUAAAUGUAGCAGCUCUUGUUAUAAAUGUUGUUGCUGUUGUUUCCUCUGGUGAUGUCCCACUGAAUGCAGUGCAGAUUUUGUGGGUGAAUCUUAUCAUGGAUACUUUGGGAGCACUAGCAUUGGCAACUGAACCACCAACUGACCAUCUUAUGGAUUGGGCCCGAAGGUCGGAACUUCAGUUUCUCUAAUUGUGCCUUUUUUUUUCUUUGGAUCAUGACAUUUUCUUGCUAUGUUUUUCUGGUGUUACAGCACCUGAAGAAUAUUGAAAUAUUAGAAUAUUGAAAUAUUGAAGUUGUUUUUUUUUUA
Non-coding RNA from Arachis ipaensis, 1830 nucleotides. The record is from RefSeq and is a predicted model, not a curated record. NCBI's taxonomy places the organism in Eukaryota, Viridiplantae, Streptophyta, Magnoliopsida, Fabales, Fabaceae.